UUUUCUUUGGUAACUUUUGUGGUGCUACUGUGUAAUCGCGGCUCUUGCAACUGCGAAGAUUAUGUUUUGGUUGCGUUGGAGUAAAUUAACACGGAUGUUGUUGAGUAGCUUUAUCUUUUCUUUUACUCCGUUAUUAUGUCGCAUCCUUACAUUUGAAGGGAGAAAAAGAGUUCAUGAUUAAGGGCAACGGCAGUAACUCCCCAGUUUGUUUUCCUAUGCCUAGAUAUGAUGGGAGGAAUGGAUUUGAAGUCGAUGUGUAUUGUCGAGGUGGAUUAAGAUGAAUAAAGUAUUCAAAUGCUUUAUAUGUUCUGCGUAUGAGAAAUUGCUUAUUUGCCGGAGUGAUUAAACGGCUAGAUUCAUUUUUAUGAAUUUAACAUAUUACCAAAUUCAGUUUUUCAAGAUGUUCGUAUGGAGGAUAGUUGAGAUGAGAAAAAUGAUGAGAUUUUAGAAUUGGAAUCUUUUGGUUAGAUGAGGAAGGACAAAGCGAUAUUCCUUCCUAUUAGUAGCAAAAAUAAUUUUUAAUGGUUUCAUUAUUGGUGACGUACAUGCAUCGAGAAGUUUCAUCUAGGAAAAUGGUUAAGAGAAACUUAUAGCAUGUUAUGUAUAUGAAUCUUUUUGGGUAAAAGAUAAUGGUGAGCUUGAAUUUUCUGGGAAGAAGCCUAUGUUGCUUUUAGUAGAGUGGAUAUUAGUGCGUAGGAGAUGGUGACGACAGAUAUUCAGCCUAAUGUUUCCUUGUAAAUGUCAGGUAGAGAUGCUGAUAGAACUUGUGGUUGAUUUGUAGCUCUGAUCAAAAGGGGUAAGUCAUGAGAAGUUUAGAAUGAUGGUUUAUUUGGAAAUAUUUUGGAUAUGCUGGUUGAAGUGGGGAAAGUUACUUGAAAGUGGAAACUAACUGAUGGUCAAAGUUGCAUAUCAUUGAUAAGUGAAUAACUGAGAUCAUAGUGCAGCAGUUAUGAACUUCUGUUUACUUCUCAAAUGUGUUAUGAAGGAAUGUAGUUCAGUGACUUCUGCUCUGAUGGAGUGUGCAAUAUUGCGACUUAUUUGUGUAUUAGAAGUCUCAGUCACACGCCUUAUGUCUGAGCUUGAAGGCAAUUAGUUUGAUCGUAAUUUCUUGUUUUACCAAAGGCAUGUCUGUUAGUUGGGCAUAUUUUUGUUCUUCUUAAAAUUUAUUUCUGAAUCUAUAGUGGUAAGACCUGUUGAAUGAGGCCUUCUAUCUUAUUAUGCUUGUUGUUUAUCUAGUUUUAAAUUUGCCUGGCAGGUUUAAUUGUGGGGAAAGUGGGAUCAGCUAUGUGAAAAUAAGUAUUUUUAAUGCCACUCUUAAAUUGUACAAUGGGAUUUUCUAAGUUAAGAAUGGACAUGCAAAGGGAAAAUCACCAUUUAGUUUGAAAUGAGAAUAAGAAAGCUGUGCCUUGUGAACUUUUUGGUAUCUGUAGCAACUUUUUACUGGUAUCAUCUCCAGGAUUAAGAGUGAACCAAGAAUUAUUAGGCUAUGGUUUGAGUGGGAAGAGUUGACUUUCUUUAGGAAAUAUGAGUGCCCUUUAUAGAUGGCUAAGGGACUGACUGAAGUAAAUUAAAUUAGUUUUAUAUAUACAUUAAAUUGGCAUAUAGAUUUUUCCCUCUGGCUCCACAAUUUUCAAUGUGGAACCAACGUUAUUAUAGACACAGAAGUAAGCAAAAGGUUACUGAGGCUUAUGGGUUGAACUCUAGAUUUUUCUAUGUUUUUUUUAUUUUAUUCUUUAUUUUUUCCUUUUUUUUUUGUUGAAGUAUUGUCCAACCUACAGUGUUUCUUCUGUAUAAAUCAUGGCAGAAAGUUUUCGUAACUAUAUAUUGAAAGCAUAAAUUUUUUAUUACAUAUGAAAUGAUAUUAUGUUUGUUUUUGUUUAGCUGUGUUUAAGAUGAAUGGGUUUUCUGUUAUGUCCUUGCAUUGUUUAUCUUUUCAAAUAUGCAAAUUGUUUUCUUGUGAGCAAUCAUCUUCCUACCUUUGCAUUUUCAUUUUCAGAAGCAUAUUGAUGGAAUUUUUUCUUGCUGUCUCUCUCUCUCUCUCUCUCUCCCCCCCUCAUCUCUUUCUUUCACUAUUUUUCCUUCAGAUUGUGUCAUAUUUAUUUGAAUGACUUGCCACGUCCACUGAAUCAUGUCAUCAAGUACACUGACUGGAGAGCGAAGGUAUUUUCUUUUCUUGUUUGGUCUUUGGAUUUCUAUUGUCUUUGAUCUUUUGAGUGUCAGUUUAAAAUCUCGAUUAUUGAAAUGCUUCAGGCUAUGACUUGCUUUGCAGCUUUCUAUGCAUGAUUUAGAUGUUAUGAAUUACUGGUUUAACUUUAGAAUUAGGAGCUUGUUGUACUGAAAGUUUAUUUUAGAAAGAGCAGUGCCUAACAAAGUAGAUAUUAGCUGAUUAAAGAGAAUAGGUAUGGACGGUUCAGUUUAUUGUAUUCUAAAAUUUAACCAACUUAUUUCAUAGUACUUAAAAAAAGGUGAAAUCUGUACAUCCAAUCCAUGCAAUAUUCCUUGUGGCAAUUAAAAACUGGGUGAUGAUUUUUGUCCCCCUAUGUUCCUCUUGUGAUAUGCAGCCAGCCAAUGGAAAUCUGGAAUAGAAGGAAGACUGGGAAUUGGAGAAUGCUGACCUUUUUGUUUCUUCAUUUUUCUCUCAAAUGACUAACAUGAACCUCUUAUGAAGAUCUGGGAGAGCCUGUUUGGUUUAUGCUUAGUAGUGCUUUAGUUAUAUGAAUUUUGGAGGUGUUUGUGACUGGUCUUUUGGAGGCUUUAUAAAUGUUUGGUUGAGUGUUAUGUUCUUGUGAGGUAGAGAUUUUGGUCCUUUUUUUUUGGGUUGUCCAGUGAUCAUGUUAAAAGGACUCUCCUUUUCUCUUUUCAAAUUUAAGUAGCAAAUAUGCGAGUAAAAAUAUUAAGAUGUUAGUUGGAUUGCUUUGCUUCUUUAGUAGUCAUUUAUCGCAUUUGCUUGCAAAAGACAUAGUGAGACUGGAGCUGUUUUCAUAUUCUUCUCCAGAGGACAUUGUUGCUGGCAUCUGUUUUGUUGGCGAACUAGAGAAGAUGUUGAUCUAUUAUUGGUGCAAAUCUUAAUCUUUUAUUGUGUAUUUUUUCUAACUUAUCGUCUACCAAUAUCUGAAGUUGAAGAGUAUUACUUACAUGGUUUUGUUAUAAAAGCUUGUGAGACGUUUCCAGUAUGAGUCUUUAGCAUCUAUGCGGGUUUGUAGUCAUUGUGUAAUUUGGUUUUGUUGCAUUUGACUUUCAUUUUCAUGAAAUAUUAUCAACAAAAUCUUUUUCCCUAAUGUUGCAAAUCUUCUUAGAUGGGCUUCGG
RNAcentral lists this long non-coding RNA (3307 nucleotides) under Carica papaya (papaya). RNAcentral describes it as "long non-coding RNA (CPAP_LNC015416)". The record is from RNAcentral. Lineage: Eukaryota; Viridiplantae; Streptophyta; Magnoliopsida; Brassicales; Caricaceae.